AUUACAGACUUAUUAUUUUUAUUUUUUGUUUAUUUAUUUUUUAAUAAAAGUAAUUUUAUGGUUUAUUGGUCUUAGUAUUUUUUAUAGGAAUGAUUUUUUUAAUUAUAGUUAAUUAGUAAUGUAAAUGGAUUAUGAAAUAACUUUAAAGUUUUAGGAAGUAUUUUUUGUUUGGAGUACCUUUUGUAUCAGGGUUUAUCAAAAUUUUAGUAUUUAUUUUACUUGUCUCGAUUUGGUUUGAUUUAUAAACCCAUGAAGGUUAAUGUUGUAUAAUUAUCUUACAUGGGUUUAUAGGGGUGAUAUGUUAUUCGUUUACCAAUAUAUCUAGUUUCUUAAGAAAAAAUUUAAUUUUUUAAAUCUGACGGUUGAAUUUAAUUUUUUAAUUUUAACUGUUGGUUUAUUUAAUUUCAAGGGGAUAAGCUCUUGAAGUAUUAUUAAUGCUAUAAUUUAUUUUAUUGAAUAUAAAAGUAGGCUUUGAACCAGCUAUCUUUGGAUUACGUUUUAGUUCAUUAUUUUUAUUUUUAAUUUUUUAAGGUUUUUGGCUUUUUUAUUAAGAUUAUGAAUUUAAUUUAUUAAUUUUUGCAAUAAUGAUAGAAUUAGUACAAUUUGAUUGUUUCUUGUGUUUUUUUUGUUAAUUUAUCAUAAGGAACUAGGCAAAUAUGAUUCCCGCCUGUUUAUCAAAAACAUGUCCUUUUGAUAAUAAUUUAAGGUCUGGCCUGCUCACUGAUUUUAAAUUUUAAGAGCCGCGGUAUUUUGACCGUGCAAAGGUAGCAUAAUCAUUAGUUUCUUAAUUAGAGGCUGGAAUGAAGGGUUUGACGAGGAAUCUACUGUCUCUUGAUAAGUUUUGGAAUUUAACUUUUAAGUCAAAAGGCUUAAAUAUUCCCCUAGGACGAGAAGACCCUAUAGAGCUUUAUAUUUAAUUUUUAUACAGUUUUCUGUUGGUAUUUCUAUAUUUAAUGAUAAUAUUUUGUUGGGGUGACAUGAAGAAUAAAUAAACUCUUCAUUAUUAAAUCAUUGUUUUAUGUAUAUUUGAUCCAUAAUUUAUGAUCAUAAGAUUAAGUUACCUUAGGGAUAACAGCGUAAUUGUUUUUGAGAGCUCAUAUCGACAAAGCAGUUUGCGACCUCGAUGUUGGAUUAAGAAUAGUUUUGGAUGCAGUAGUUUAAUUACUAGGUCUGUUCGACCUUUAAAUUCUUACAUGAUCUGAGUCAGACCGGCGUGAGCCAGGUCGGUUUCUAUCCUGGGAAGAAGAGGAGUAGUUCAUAUUAGUACGAAAGGACCAUAUGGGCAAAAGAUUUUUGUUGUUUUGAUUAAUAUUAAUUUAUA
RNAcentral lists this ribosomal RNA (1321 nucleotides) under Lithidiopsis carinatus. RNAcentral's name for it is "large subunit ribosomal RNA". The stretch from base 855 to 1321 matches the Rfam family "Bacterial large subunit ribosomal RNA", at positions 2048 to 2739 of the family's 2925-position model. The record is from RNAcentral. Lineage: Eukaryota; Metazoa; Arthropoda; Insecta; Orthoptera; Acrididae.